GACGAACGCUGGCGGCGUGCUUAACACAUGCAAGUCGAACGAUGAAGCCGGAGCUUGCUCUGGUGAAUUAGUGGCGAACGGGUGAGUAACACGUGAGUAACCUGCCCUUGACUCUGGGAUAACUGCGGGAAACUGUAGCUAAUACCGGAUACGACCCUCGGAGGCAUCUCCUGGGGGUGGAAAGAAUUUCGGUCAAGGAUGGACUCGAGGCCUGUCAGCUAGUUGGUGAGGUAAAGGCUCACCAAGGCGACGACCGGUCGCCGGCCUGAGAGGGUAACCGGCCACACGGGGACUGAGACGCGACUCAGACUACUGCGGGAGGCAGCAGUGGGUAAUAUUGCACGAUGGGCGCAAGCCUGAUGCAGCAACGCCGCGUGAGGGAUGACGGCAUUCGGGUUGUAAACCUCUUUUAGCAGGGAAGAAGCGAAAGUGACGGUACCUGCAGAAAAAGCACCGGCUAACUACGUGCCAGCAGCCGCAGUAA
RNAcentral lists this ribosomal RNA (484 nucleotides) under uncultured bacterium. Its description in RNAcentral is "partial 16S ribosomal RNA". It matches the Rfam family "Bacterial small subunit ribosomal RNA", at positions 28 to 523 of the family's 1533-position model. The record is from RNAcentral.